This is a long non-coding RNA of Gallus gallus (chicken), 395 nucleotides long. NCBI's taxonomy places the organism in Eukaryota, Metazoa, Chordata, Aves, Galliformes, Phasianidae. The record is from Ensembl.
GAGCAGCAAAGGCCAGAUCAGGUAUGCAAAUCUUUAAGUCUGAUAACCCCAAAUCCUUAGUUACAGUAAUAGUAGAGGAAAUAAGAUAUGCCACUGAGAAGAUAGGGAAACAGAGCUCCACAGUGUGACUUCCUCAAGCAACACAAGACAUCUCAGGAAGAGAAACACAGCCUUGUCUGGAUGCUGCCAUUUCAGUCCACAUGCACAUGAGCUGUGAAGGAUGAGGAUCACAAGGAUGGCCAAUACACAUCUCCUAGGUGCUCCAACAACAUCACUGCAAACGUUUCCAGAGCUUUCCAGGCUGGACUCUGCAGGCCAUAGUGCUCUCCAGCCACACUUACUCAUGAGAGCUAUUCAAUUGAAAAGAAAGAAAAUCCCACUCAUUUAGCACACGG